RNAcentral lists this transfer RNA (72 nucleotides) under Sparassis crispa. RNAcentral describes it as "tRNA-Val". It matches the Rfam family "tRNA". From Rfam's summary of the family: Transfer RNA (tRNA) molecules are approximately 80 nucleotides in length. The record is from RNAcentral. Lineage: Eukaryota; Fungi; Basidiomycota; Agaricomycetes; Polyporales; Sparassidaceae.
AAGAGGUUAGUUAAGCGGUUAUAACACUAUAUUUACACUCUAGGGACAGGGGUUCGAAUCCCCUACUUCUUA